CUGUCUUGCUAGCCAACUGCAUUGCCUUCUUGGCUCACAUGCUUCGAGGAAGCAGGGUGCUAUAUUGGAGAGGUUCACAUGCAAGAAAUUGAGGGCAGCCUCCAGCCAGCAACCGGCAAGAACUGAGGCUGUCAGUCCAGUAGCCCCUGAGCCAUUGACCCUGCCAACAGCCACCUGAGCUUCCAAGUGAAUUCUUCCUCAGUGGAGCAUUCGGAUGAGACCUCAACCUUGCCUCACACCUUGACCGCAGGGUUCAAGGGACCCUGAAGCAGAAGACCCAGGUGGAGGAAACUGGGGCCUGAAGAAGUCAAAUGGCUUUUCCAGGUUCACACAGCUUGCCUGUCUGGGAUCUGAAUCCAUGUCUGCCUACCUCCCAACCCUACAUUCUGACCAGUAGGCCACAUGGCUCUUCGAAAAGAGGGCCAGAAACCUCCGAAGUUUCUUCCUACAUGUUUGGAAUAGCAUCAGAUGGAAACAAAUUCCACAAGAGGAUUCGUAUGCUCAUAUAAACAGGUAGGAAUGGAUGUUUGUGCACCCAGAGGAUCAGAAGAUAAGUCAAAGCAUGGAAAUAGUUGUCAUUUGCUGUUUAUGGAUUUCUGGGGUCCCAGGAGGCUAACUGAAUAAAGAGAACCUGGGCAAUGACAGACGACUGCUGCACGUGAGGGAAGACCGCUGUCCUGGUAGAGCUGCGGGUUUUGUGACCCCUGGGCAGGGGGUUGUUUCUGACCUGGGCUGUGAGGGGACGCCUCUUGGCAGGAGCUAGUUGUUUCCCAUAAGGCGAUGAGGUCUUCUCUCUCUCGUGCAUCCUUACUGGCUGAAGAGGAAGACGACAGUCUCUUGGGAGAGGACGAGGCUGACUCUGUACCUUGCUCAGUCCCACCCAGCCCCUGCCUAAAUCUGGGGGCCUCUGCCACUUCCCUUGUCGUCGCAGAAUGGGUGCCUCCUCUUUCCAAGGUGGACUGACCUGAUGUGUUUCACCAGGUCCCUAGAACACAGCCCCCAAAGCUCUGGGGAUGAGUGUUAGAGCACUAACACCUGUUGACCAUCUGCCGUGCAUGCACCGCCGGCCGGACCCUGGCUCAGUGUCCUCCCUGCAGCCCCCAGAGGAGGAUAGGUUAUGUCCCUGUCACGGAGGCUGGAGCUGUGGCAAUGUCAGGACCAGACAGGAACCACAACAGCCAGAGGGUGCGAGUCAGAAUUGGAAGCCAGGCCUCCCAACCCCUGGACCAGAGUAACCCUACAGUUCUGGAGAGGGACAGACUGGCUCACCUUGAGCUCACAGUUGGCAGCUGUGUGACCUUGGGCACAUCGCUUCACCCCUCUGAACCUCAGUUGUCAGUCUUGGAACAAGGACAAGAGAAUCAGGUCUAUCACUUCAUAAGGUGGUUGUAAGGAUGAAAGAAGAUAAUGUGGUCAAAAUGCCAAGUGUAAGACUGGAGUGCUUAAUAAAUGCUAGCUGCUAA
Molecule: long non-coding RNA, 1463 nt
Organism: Leptonychotes weddellii (Weddell seal)
Lineage: Eukaryota; Metazoa; Chordata; Mammalia; Carnivora; Phocidae
Source: RefSeq, a predicted model, not a curated record